This 440-nucleotide ribosomal RNA is filed under the name uncultured bacterium. RNAcentral's name for it is "partial 16S ribosomal RNA". It matches the Rfam family "Bacterial small subunit ribosomal RNA", at positions 338 to 795 of the family's 1533-position model. The record is from RNAcentral.
CCUACGGGGGUCUACAGUGGGGAAUAUUGCACAAUGGGGGAAACCCUGAUGCAGCGACGCCGCGUGAGCGCUGAAGUAUUUCGGUAUGUAAAGCUCUAUCAGCAGGGAAGAAAAUGACGGUACCUGACUAAGAAGCCCCGGCUAACUCAGUGCCAGCAGCCGCGGUAAUACGUAGGGGGCAAGCGUUCUCCGGAUUUACUGGUCGUAAAGGGAGCGUAGACGGCUGUGCAAGCCAGAUGUGAAAGCCCGGGGCUCAACCCCGGGACUGCAUUUGGAACUGUGUGGCUGGAGUGUCGGAGAGGCAGGCGGAAUUCCUAGUGUAGCGGUGAAAUGCGUAGAUAUUAGGAGGAACACCAGUGGCGAAGGCGGCCUGCUGGACGAUGACUGACGUUGAGGCUCGAAAGCGUGGGGAGCAAACAGGAUUAGAUACCCCAGUAGUC